UGGCCUUGCGGGUGCCGUGUGCCAGUGGGUCUACCGACUGGUGGGAUUCGUGUGUCGCAGGCUCGCUGGGCCGGGUUCGUGACGUCAUAAAACAUGAAGGUAACUGAAUCCAGGCCAGAACUAACAUUUGCUCCACACUGGGUCCCAAAAAGAGCCAGAUCAGGGUGUGAUCUUUUGAAGACAUUCUGAAGAGCAAUUAAACAUCACAUACAUCCUAAGAAGGUACCUAACUCAAUUAAUGUGAUGACAGCAGGAACAGCUGCGACCAAGUUCACACAUGCCCAGCAGUGACCUCAGCUGAACAGGUCUCAACGGCUGCCUGCCAACAGCCCGUUGCUACACCUAGUUCUCACCUCCAACCAUAAUGACCACUUGGCACCAGUAGGACCAAAGAAGUACAUCCCCUGCCCCUGGUUGAUUAUGCAAAUGACAUUUGAGGGCCUUCCAGGAAUAGCAUUCAGGCCCAAGUCACAGUGUUUCUCAACCUGAGGACGACUGACAUUUGGAGACAAUUCUGUGUUGUGGAAACUGACCUGCACAUCGUCAAAAGG
Neogale vison (American mink) is the source of this 551-nucleotide long non-coding RNA. RefSeq lists it as uncharacterized. Lineage: Eukaryota; Metazoa; Chordata; Mammalia; Carnivora; Mustelidae. The record is from RefSeq and is a predicted model, not a curated record. The transcript has 5 exons.